Molecule: long non-coding RNA, 1086 nt
Filed under: Marmota monax (woodchuck)
Lineage: Eukaryota; Metazoa; Chordata; Mammalia; Rodentia; Sciuridae
Source: RNAcentral
AAAACACACAGUGGCUCCCCCCUAGCCAUGGUCAAGUCGAGGCCAAAUAUAGUAAAUACAAAAUUAUAGAAAUAAGCAACUCGUGGGUUUAAACCACUCUGAGUGGUGUAAGGCAGCCUCACACUAUCCCCCCAGGAUGCGAACGAUCCCUUCAGUCAGUGGGUCUGCAGCGUACAUGCGGCCUGCCCAGUAGUUGCUUGUCACAGCCAUCUGCAGUGGCACACCAACCGUCAUGUAUCACAGUGCCUGAGUAGUGUAGCCCAGCGCUCCUUUACGCACCUGCUUAUUCACAGGCACUGUGUUGUUUCCAUCAGUUAGGUACAGUUCAAGCAGAGACGGAGCACAUCACUCCUAUUGCACUAUGUGUGUACUGUUUUAUAUGUUGUUAUGCAUCUAUUCCUGUGCCUAACUUACAAAUUGAACUUUAGCAUAGGUGUGUAUAUAGAGGGAAACAUAAUGUAUGUAGGGUUGAGUUCUGUCUGUGGUUUCAGGCAUCCCCUGGGGGUCUUGGAAUGUAUCCCUCACACAUAAGAGGCGACUACUGUACUUCUUAACACUAACCAAAAGAAAGGCAAAAUGACAUCAAUUAAAAUAGACCUAAGAGCAAAGAAGCUGACCUUAAAUAGGGGCAUUAUUAUUGGGACUGAGGUUGUAACUCAGGGGUAGAAUAAAGGGUGAGUGCACCAAGGACACUUGCAGUCCUGUUGUGUCCACCUGGGAACAAAGCAGUAAAAGAAAUGAGGUAAAGCUAGACGGAGUUGAAAGAACUAGGACUGCAAGUGCAGUCACGCAUGUCGACUAUUCUCAGUGACUUGAUUAAGGUUGAGAGAAUUUCCACAUAGAGAAGACUUGAACACAUCAAGCCACUCAACCUGCUAACAGCUGAAGAUACUCCACCCAGCAACAGAGCCCAGCUUCUUCUCAGCCCCAUGGACCUGUGCCGGCAUAGAGUGUGUUCAAGGCCCUGAAAACAAGCUCAGGAGAACUAAAAUCAUGCAAAUGUAUUUUCUGAACAUAAAGGAAUUAAAUUAGAAACUGUUGAACAGACUGGCAGUAGGAGACUCCAAACAAUAAAGCAGUGCUUAG